CGAACGCUGGCGGCGUGCCUAAUACAUGCAAGUCGAGCGGAAGACUUCGGUCUUUAGCGGCGGACGGGUGAGUAACACGUAGGUAACCUGCCUCAUCGACUGGGAUAACAUUCGGAAACGGAUGCUAAGACCAGAUAAGAACUUUACUCGCAUGAGUGGAGUUGGAAACAUGGGCUACAUGGCGAUGAGAUGGACCUGCGGCGCAUUAGCUAGUUGGUGAGGUAACGGCUCACCAAGGCGACGAUCAGUAUCUGGUUUGAGAGGAUGAUCAGACACACUGGAACUGAGACACGGUCCAGACUCCUACGGGAGGCAGCAGUGGGGAAUUUUCCGCAAUGGGCGAAAGCCUGACGGAGCAAUCUCGCGUGAGGGAUGACGGCCUAUGGGUUGUAAACCUCUUUUUUCAGGGAGGAACAAAAUGACGUGUACCUGAAGAAUAAGCAUCGGCUAACUCCGUGCCAGCAG
Molecule: ribosomal RNA, 465 nt
Filed under: uncultured bacterium
Lineage: Bacteria
Description: bacterial SSU rRNA
Rfam family: Bacterial small subunit ribosomal RNA
Source: RNAcentral